CCCCUAGAUGUUCUGGGCGGCCCGCGCACUACAAUGGCGCGUUCAUCGAGAACCAAGGUUGAAUUAUUCGAGGUAUUCUUGCAAAACGCGUCUUGAUUGGGAUAGAUCCUUGUAAUUGUUGGUCUUGAACGAGGAAUUCCUUGUAAGCGUGGUUUAUCAUCCCACGUUGAAUGCGUCCCUGCCCUUUGUACACACCGCCCGUCGCUCCUACCGAUGAAUUGUCCGGUGAAGUUCAUGGAGAGCUGUUUCACUGAGAUGUGCUUAAAGCGAGAUGAACCUAGCGGUUUAGAGGAAGGAGAAGUCGUAACA
RNAcentral lists this ribosomal RNA (309 nucleotides) under uncultured eukaryote. RNAcentral's name for it is "partial 18S ribosomal RNA". It matches the Rfam family "Eukaryotic small subunit ribosomal RNA", at positions 1470 to 1796 of the family's 1831-position model. The record is from RNAcentral.